Molecule: transfer RNA, 72 nt
Filed under: Camelus bactrianus (Bactrian camel)
Lineage: Eukaryota; Metazoa; Chordata; Mammalia; Artiodactyla; Camelidae
Also listed under: 2 other names
Rfam family: tRNA
About the family: Transfer RNA (tRNA) molecules are approximately 80 nucleotides in length. Their secondary structure includes four short double-helical elements and three loops (D, anti-codon, and T loops).
Source: Rfam by way of RNAcentral
CAAGAUAUGGCUCAGUGGUAGAGUGCGUACCUAGCAUACGUGAGGGCCUGGGUUCAAUCCCCAGUACCUCCA